Molecule: long non-coding RNA, 1299 nt
Filed under: Gouania willdenowi (blunt-snouted clingfish)
Lineage: Eukaryota; Metazoa; Chordata; Actinopteri; Blenniiformes; Gobiesocidae
Description: lncRNA (ENSGWIG00000014544.1)
Source: RNAcentral
AUCUGAACAUCCGGCUCGACAUUUGGCACUUUAUGAGGAGGUUUUCGGUGAUUCCCACCAGCUGUAUGCCACUUUCAUGGGUCGCCUCAGCCACUGCAUCUUCAUGUGGGAUGAAGACAACCUGAAGGCCCUGAAAAUAGCAAAGCAGUCAGAGCUAGAAGCUAAAGGCCGAACUCCAUCUGAGGCAGAUGUACUCUGGUCUAUCAGCCAAAGUGAGCUUGCCCUGCACUGCAAGAGGACCACCCGCGGUGUUCGGGAGACACAGGUUCUCAUUGAAAGGCUCAUCCAGCGCUUGGAUUGUGACAACGGUCGUGACACUCUGGGAGUCCCACUGAUAAACUCAGCAAGAAUGAGUGAAAUCGUUAAAUCCCAGAAGAAACAUGUCACCUGCAUCCAGGAUCCACAAGGGAUCCAGCUUUACCUGCAGAUGGGAAAUGUCCUGAAGGGAGGUCACCGUCUGCCCACGUACCGCUGUGCCCGAGGUUCUACGUCACUGGAGUCUUUUCAUCUUCACCUGAACCGUUUCAUCCCUGGUAAACAUUGUCAUACUUUAUUUGUUUUUGUUUUUCUUACAAAAGUAUUCUGUGACUACACUGAAAUAAAACAUGACGGAUCCUAAAGAAUCAGAUUAAUUGCAAGUCUUCUAAUGACUAUAAACAGAAAUAUGUUGUUGGAACAAUAUGUAUGAUGAAUAUUUUUUUAUUCUCUGUUUUCUGAAUUACUUUAUAGGGACCCUGGCAAGUGAUGUCUUCUUCCAGGCCUAUCUUUUGGAUGGGCUAUCAAGGUGGAAUGAGGACCGGGCUGUGGCAGCAUUAAAGGAUGAGCAGUCGUGCUCAUACAACCAUCUGCUCCGUCAUGCUGCUAACACCCUAGCAGAGGAGGUUCUGGGCGAAAAGAUCAUCCCUUAUGUCGGGCCAAGACAAUACACAGGUGAGCUUAUAGGUGUGGAAUACCUCUAUCAGCAAACUGGCAAAGUUCUGCAGGACUACAAAGUGGUCAUUGAAGAGUCUGAGACCACUGAAGUUGAGAUAGAUGAGGGCUUCACAGGACAUGACAGUACCCACACUAGAGGCAGAGCAAGCACUUCUCGCCUCACAAGCAUCUGCAGCUGUUCCUGGUUCCUCAGCAGCUCCAUCUCCUCAGGCUACUGCCUUUGUGCCUCCCAUUCCCCCCGUUAUCCCUCUGUUGCCAGUGACUCAGUCACAUGUCGCCUCAUCAUCAGCUUCUGCAGCUCCUUCACCUGCUGUGACCGCUCUGCUCCCCCAUUCCACACAAACAGUUUCUCCUGCAGAACAGUCU